GAGUUUGAUCCUGGCUCAGGAUGAACGCUAGCGGCAGGCCUAACACAUGCAAGUCGAGGGGUAACAGGAGAAAGCUUGCUUUCUCGCUGACGACCGGCGAACGGGUGCGUAACACGUAUGUAACCUACCUAUAACAGGAGAAUAGCCUACUGAAAAGUGGAUUAAUGCUCCAUAAUAUACAUUAAAGGCAUCUUUUUUGUAUUAAGCUCCGGCGGUUAUAGAUGGACAUGCGGAACAUUAGCUUGUUGGUGAGGUAACGGCUCACCAAGGCAACGAUGUUUAGGGGGUCUUAGAGGAUGAUCCCCCACACUGGUACUGAGACACGGACCAGACUCCUACGGGAGGCAGCAGUGAGGAAUAUUGCGCAAUGGAGGAAACUCUGACGCAGCCAUGCCGCGUGCAGGAAGAAGGCCUUAUGGGUUGUAAACUGCUUUUAUAUGCCAAGAAAACCUAGUACGUGUACUAGACUGACGGUAGCAUAUGAAUAAGGAUCGGCUAACUCCGUGCCAGCAGCCGCGGUAAUACGGAGGAUCCAAGCGUUAUCCGGAUUUAUUGGGUUUAAAGGGUUCGUAGGCGGAAGAUUAAGUCAGUGGUGAAAUCCUACAGCUCAACUGUAGAACUGCCAUUGAUACUGGUUUUCUUGAGUACAAAUGAGGUGGGCGGAAUGUGGCAUGUAGCGGUGAAAUGUAUAGAUAUGCCACAGAACACCAAUUGCGAAGGCAGCUCACUAAAAUGUAACUGACGCUGAGGAACGAAAGCGUGGGGAGCGAACGGGAUUAGAUACCCCGGUAGUCCACGCCGUAAACGAUGAUCACUCGAUGUUGGCGAUAUACUGUCAGCGUCCAAGCGAAAGCGUUAAGUGAUCCACCUGGGGAGUACGGUCGCAAGAUUGAAACUCAAAGGAAUUGACGGGGGCCCGCACAAGCGGUGGAGCAUGUGGUUUAAUUCGAUGAUACGCGAGGAACCUUACCUAGGCUUAAAUGUAGAUUGACGUACUGGGAAACUAGUAUUUCUUCGGACAAUCUACAAGGUGCUGCAUGGUUGUCGUCAGCUCGUGCCGUGAGGUGUCGGGUUAAGUCCCAUAACGAGCGCAACCCCUAUCGUUAGUUGCUAACAUUUAGUUGAGGACUCUAACGAAACUGCCCGCGUAAGCGGAGAGGAAGGUGGGGAUGACGUCAAAUCAUCACGGCCCUUACGUCUAGGGCUACACACGUGCUACAAUGGUAAUUACAGAGGGAAGCAAACUGGUGACAGUGAGCCAAUCCUUAAAAAUUAUCCCAGUUCGGAUUGAAGUCUGCAACUCGACUUCAUGAAGUUGGAAUCGCUAGUAAUCGGAUAUCAGCCAUGAUCCGGUGAAUACGUUCCCGGGCCUUGUACUCACCGCCCGUC
This 1389-nucleotide ribosomal RNA is filed under the name uncultured marine bacterium. RNAcentral describes it as "bacterial SSU rRNA". It matches the Rfam family "Bacterial small subunit ribosomal RNA". The record is from RNAcentral.